UACGUAGGGAGCGAGCGUUGUCCGGAAUUACUGGGCGUAAAGGGCGCGUAGGCGGCCGAUUAAGUUAGAUGUGAAAAACCGGGGCUCAACUCCGGGAUUGCAUUUAAGACUGGUCGGCUUGAGGGUGAGAGAGGAAAGUGGAAUUCCUAGUGUAGCGGUGAAAUGCGUAGAUAUUAGGAGGAACACCAGUGGCGAAGGCGACUUUCUGGCUCAUACCUGACGCUGAGGCG
Molecule: ribosomal RNA, 230 nt
Filed under: uncultured microorganism
Description: partial 16S ribosomal RNA
Rfam family: Bacterial small subunit ribosomal RNA
Source: RNAcentral